GCCUGGGUGGCUGAGUCGGUUGAGCACUGGACUUCGACUCAGGUCAUGAUCUCAAGGUUUGUGGGUUUGAACCCCACAUCGGGCU
Molecule: transfer RNA, 85 nt
Filed under: Felis catus (domestic cat)
Lineage: Eukaryota; Metazoa; Chordata; Mammalia; Carnivora; Felidae
Rfam family: tRNA
About the family: Transfer RNA (tRNA) molecules are approximately 80 nucleotides in length.
Source: Rfam by way of RNAcentral